GCGAACGGGUGAGUAACGCGUGAGGAACCUGCCUCAAAGAGGGGGACAACAGUUGGAAACGACUGCUAAUACCGCAUAAGCCCACGGCUCGGCAUCGAGCAGAGGGAAAAGGAGUAAUCCGCUUUGAGAUGGCCUCGCGUCCGAUUAGCUAGUUGGUGAGGUAAUGGCCCACCAAGGCGACGAUCGGUAGCCGGACUGAGAGGUUGAACGGCCACAUUGGGACUGAGACACGGCCCAGACUCCUACGGGAGGCAGCAGUGGGGAAUAUUGCACAAUGGGGGAAACCCUGAUGCAGCGACGCCGCGUGGAGGAAGAAGGUCUUCGGAUUGUAAACUCCUGUUGUUGGGGAAGAUAAUGACGGUACCCAACAAGGAAGUGACGGCUAACUACGUGCCAGCAGCCGCGGUAAAACGUAGGUCACAAGCGUUGUCCGGAAUUACUGGGUGUAAAGGGAGCGCAGGCGGGAAGACAAGUUGGAAGUGAAAUCUAUGGGCUCAACCCAUAAACUGCUUUCAAAACUGUUUUUCUUGAGUAGUGCAGAGGUAGGCGGAAUUCCCGGUGUAGCGGUGGAAUGCGUAGAUAUCGGGAGGAACACCAGUGGCGAAGGCGGCCUACUGGGCACCAACUGACGCUGAGGC
RNAcentral lists this ribosomal RNA (638 nucleotides) under uncultured bacterium. RNAcentral's name for it is "bacterial SSU rRNA". It matches the Rfam family "Bacterial small subunit ribosomal RNA", at positions 98 to 752 of the family's 1533-position model. The record is from RNAcentral.